This 492-nucleotide ribosomal RNA is filed under the name uncultured bacterium. RNAcentral's name for it is "partial 16S ribosomal RNA". It matches the Rfam family "Bacterial small subunit ribosomal RNA", at positions 29 to 507 of the family's 1533-position model. The record is from RNAcentral.
AGUGAACGCUGGCGGUAGGCCUAACACAUGCAAGUCGAACGGCAGCACAGUAAGAGCUUGCUCUUACGGGUGGCGAGUGGCGGACGGGUGAGGAAUACAUCGGAAUCUACUUUUUCGGGGGGGAUAACGUAGGGAAACUUACGCUAAUACCGCAUACGACCUACGGGGGAAAGCAGGGGAUCUUCGGACCUUGCGCGAUUGAAUGAGCGGAUGUCGGAUUAGCUAGUUGGCGGGGUAAAGGCCCACCAAGGCGACGAUCCGUAGCUGGUCUGAGAGGAUGAUCAGCCACACUGGAACUGAGACACGGUCCAGACUCCUACGGGAGGCAGCAGUGGGGAAUAUUGGACAAUGGGCGCAAGCCUGAUCCAGCCAUACCGCGUGGGUGAAGAAGGCCUUCGGGUUGUAAAGCCCUUUUGUUGGGAAAGAAAAGCAGCAGGUUAAUACCCCGCUGUUCUGACGGUACCCAAAGAAUAAGCACCGGCUAACUUCGUG